AUGGUUCCAUUCGUUUUUUCACCAUUAAUUUUUGCGUCAGGGAUUUUAGAACUUCUUCAUAUAAGGUCUGUGUUUUUUCUAGGUUUACCCUGGCGUGACGUUUUGAUAACCACGCAAAUCUCUCUCGGACAAGGUAACUUUCGCCUGUAAUUACCCCCCAAAAACGAAAUGCUAAUUAGACGCGGCUAUCAAACAGAACUACACAUCUUGUGGCAAGCUUUGACGUCAUCCCUCAAGGCACAUUUCUCUACGCAAACUCAUCUCAAGUAGCAAGUAGAUAUUAUAGUCUAAUUAGUUUCUUGUGUAAAUAAUUGAGUGUAUUUCUCGUGUGUGUAUUUUAAAAAAUAUAUACAUUUUUCAAAUUACCUAGCUAACUACUUUAGCAUGUUUUAAUUACUUGAAUCUUGGCCUUUGUAGCGAACCAGCUAACCUUAGUACUCUCCGUCGAUCAGAAGCAAGGAUGGUUCUGUGCUACAGUAUAUACCAGUUUAUAACCACUACUCCGAUAAGCACACAUGCAUUUUAUUGUUUUCCGACCUCUGUAAGCGAGAGGCAUCACUGGAGCCGUGCGAUAAGUGACGACACUCGGGUCUGUAGCUGCCAUUUUCCAGUGGAAAAGAGAAAUGGUACCAGAAAAGGUAGGUCAUCCAUCAUGACAGAAGAGGAAGAUCCAGACUGUUGAUUGGGAAACAAGAACAAACAAUGAGGCAUGACGAUUAGGUGUUGAGUAUGAUAAAUAAUGUUUUUUCUGUCCAGAUAAAGAUGGUGAUACAGCAUUAAAAAAGACCUACCACUCACCAAAUGUCUCUUUGCUUUCCACUCCAACAGGAGUGCAUCCCUCAGACUGUGAUGCAUGGACAUUCUGUGUCAGUGUGAUCCGGUUGUGGAGACUACAGCUGAUCGAGCCUGUGGACGGACAGACAUGAGGCGUGACAUGCAGAAACAUCAGGCUCACCCCACGAGAAGCAGUAAAUGAUCAACGCCACCCUCAACAAGGAGAUCUGCUGGAAGUGAUGUACUCUCACUCUGGGGGUACUGACAGGAGGGGCAAUAUGAGUCUGUCAGAGGUUGACACGAUGGAUGGGGAUGGUGAUGGAGGCUUGGUGGUCCACACAACGAAGAAGCAGUGUCCCUUCCAGUGAUUAUGGAGCUGACCUGGUGCCAGUAAGGAUGGUCUUCACGGAAAUCCUUUGACUUCACUGCCUCUUCAAUGACAUCACCCCAUCCAACGACUGAUCUGAGGACCCUUUUUAGUAGCGACGGAGGACAAGUGCAGUUUUUCCAUAAACUUUUAAUUGAUCAAUUGGGAUUUUAUUGCUUAAUAUAUCAAUCAUAUAGUGGGAAGGAUCCUAUACAUGUAGACUGUGUGAAUGCAUGUACCACUGAAUAAAUAAAUACUGUGCCUCUGAAGAUUU
This is a non-coding RNA of Salvelinus sp. IW2-2015, 1415 nucleotides long. The record is from RefSeq and is a predicted model, not a curated record. NCBI's taxonomy places the organism in Eukaryota, Metazoa, Chordata, Actinopteri, Salmoniformes, Salmonidae.